Molecule: long non-coding RNA, 1001 nt
Filed under: Gossypium barbadense (sea-island cotton)
Lineage: Eukaryota; Viridiplantae; Streptophyta; Magnoliopsida; Malvales; Malvaceae
Description: long non-coding RNA (GBAR_LNC018185)
Source: RNAcentral
UCACAGCAUGUCAUGCAAGCUCUCAAGCAUAGGUUAGUCCUUGAGUGUAAUUUGCACCUUUGUCCACAUAAUGGGAUGCAAUCUGCCAACAAAGUUGUCCAACAUGUUGUCAGAAAGAUAACAGAUAAGUUCCUUGAGUUUUGGUAAAUGAAAAAAUGAUGUUUUCUUUACCCUUUUUUGUCCUAACAGGUGGCAAUGGUGGACUUGGUGGCUUGUAAGGCGGUGCUGGAGUUGUUGGUGGCUUAACUGGAGGUGUAGGAACUGGGGGCUUAUAUGGGGGAGUUGGUGCUUUAGUUGGCGGUGCUGGUGCUGGAGUUGGUGCUUUGGUUGGGGGUGUUGGGGGCAUAUAUGGGGGAGUAGGGGCCUUGACUGGAGGUGCCGGUGCGGGAGUAGGGGGUUUAUAUGGGGGAGUAGGAGCCUUGGUUGGUGGUGCUGGUGCUGGGGGCUUAAAUGGUGGAGUUGGAGCCUUGGUUGGUGGUGCAGGAGCUGGGGGCUUAUAUGGUGGAGUAGGAGCCUUGGUUGGUGGUGCAGGAGCUGGGGGCUUAUAUGGUGGAGUAGGAGCCUUGGUUGGUGGUGCAGGAGCUGGGGGUUUAUAUGGUGGAGUAGGAGCCUUGGUUGGUGGUUUAUAUGGUGGAGUGGGGGCCUUGGUAGGGGGUUUAUAUGGAGUGGGGCCCUUAGUUGGGGGUGCUGGAGUUGGAGCCUUGUACGGCGGCACCGGAGUGGUGGGAGGCUUAACGGGUGGAGCAGGGAUAGGUGCCUUCACUGGAACAGGAGCAGCAUAUUUAAUCUGAACAGUGAUAUGCAACAAAUUUAGCAAAGUUCCAUUUACAGACUAUGGUCUUAUGCACCACAAUGGCUAAUAGCAUUCAGUAUGAAAAAAUACAAGAAAUACAUUAUCCAAAAAGAAAAAACAUGAAUCAGAUUGUUUCAAAAGAACCAAGUUUAAGAUUGUUACAACCUAGACAAGACAAAACAGUAAAAUAAAUGUUUGAAAAAUCACC